Molecule: ribosomal RNA, 403 nt
Filed under: Fusobacteriota bacterium
Lineage: Bacteria; Fusobacteriati; Fusobacteriota
Description: Fusobacteria bacterium partial 16S ribosomal RNA
Rfam family: Bacterial small subunit ribosomal RNA
Source: RNAcentral
UGGGGAAUAUUGCACAAUGGAGGGAACUCUGAUGCAGCGACGCCGCGAGAACGAAGAAGGCUUUCGAGUCGUAAAGUUCUUUUAUAUGGGAAGAUAAUGACGGUACCAUAAGAAAAAGCCCCGGCUAACUACGUGCCAGCAGCCGCGGUAAUACGUAGGGGGCUAGCGUUGUCCGGAAUCACUGGGCGUAAAGGGUUCGCAGGCGGAAAUGCAAGUCAGGUGUAAAAGGCAGUAGCUUAACUACUGUAAGCAUUUGAAACUGCAUAUCUUGAGAAGAGUAGAGGUAAGUGGAAUUUUUAGUGUAGCGGUGAAAUGCGUAGAUAUUAAAAAGAAUACCGGUGGCGAAGUCGACUUACUGGGCUCAUUCUGACGCUGAGGAACGAAAGCGUGGGUAGCAAACAGG